GGAGAAUUGAAAGUGAAGAGUUAAUUUCAGCCUGGGGAAACUCUGGUUGCUUUUGUUUGAAUAAAGCUUUUAGAAAGAUCAGAGUGAAAGUGGAGUUUUCUUUUUCACUUCUUUCCACAAUAUAGUGAAGAGAGAGGUAGGAUUAGAGUAAGGGAUCCCUAUGUUCUAUUUCCACCUGUGACAUAUUGGUGAUGUUGGGCUAGUCACCAUUUCCAUGUUUUAGACAAAUCAGUCAGACUAAGUUUCAGAGAAAGUGAUGACCUAUGUUAAUAGAGGGAUUCUUUUUUCCUCACCCAGAAGUUAUCUAUAGCAAUGGUACAAUUUCUACCCUCAAUUUUGGCUCUGUCUCUCCCACAGGAUUGAUUAGUCAUCCAAGCCUAUUGGUAAGACAAAAGUCAAGACAAGUGAUGAUGGCCUGGGAUUCAAUGCAUGACCAUGGUGUCUUCUAUGUUGGACCAACCACUAAGUACUCCACAGAGCCUGCUUCAGCUGUGUCCAUGACCUUUAGAACAAAUUGUUCUUAUCCAUCCAUUUCAGCAAGAGAAGUUAUCACAAGCUUGGAGUAA
Molecule: long non-coding RNA, 566 nt
Filed under: Monodelphis domestica (gray short-tailed opossum)
Lineage: Eukaryota; Metazoa; Chordata; Mammalia; Didelphimorphia; Didelphidae
Description: lncRNA (ENSMODG00000031474.2)
Source: RNAcentral